AGUGAACGCUGGCGGUAGGCCUAACACAUGCAAGUCGAACGGCAGCACAGUAAGAGCUUGCUCUUACGGGUGGCGAGUGGCGGACGGGUGAGGAAUACAUCGGAAUCUACUUUUUCGUGGGGGAUAACGUAGGGAAACUUACGCUAAUACCGCAUACGACCUACGGGUGAAAGCAGGGGAUCUUCGGACCUUGCGCGAUUGAAUGAGCCGAUGUCGGAUUAGCUAGUUGGCGGGGUAAAGGCCCACCAAGGCGACGAUCCGUAGCUGGUCUGAGAGGAUGAUCAGCCACACGGGAAGUGAGACACGGUCCAGACUCCUACGGGAGGCAGCAGUGGGGAAUAUUGGACAAUGGGGGCAAGCCUGAUCCAGCCAUACCGCGUGGGUGAAGAGGGCCUUCGGGUGGUAAAGCCCUUUUGUUGGGAAAGAAAAGCAGCAGGUUAAUACCCCGCUGUUCUGACGGUACCCAAAGAAUAAGCACCGGCUAACUUCGUG
This 492-nucleotide ribosomal RNA is filed under the name uncultured bacterium. RNAcentral describes it as "partial 16S ribosomal RNA". It matches the Rfam family "Bacterial small subunit ribosomal RNA", at positions 29 to 507 of the family's 1533-position model. The record is from RNAcentral.